This is an RNA transcript of Pyrus x bretschneideri (Chinese white pear), 4478 nucleotides long. It is a transcript of the gene named FIP1[V]-like protein, with no coding region annotated. The record is from RefSeq and is a predicted model, not a curated record. The transcript has 9 exons. NCBI's taxonomy places the organism in Eukaryota, Viridiplantae, Streptophyta, Magnoliopsida, Rosales, Rosaceae.
GGGUUUUGUCACAGAAAACAUUUCAAGCUCCAGUCUUUUCUUCAUCAAAGCAUCCAAAGCUUAUCAUUUCGUCCCCAAUGGCGCUUCUCCAUCACCGUUAGGCAAAAUCCUAGGAAAAUUUCCCCUCUUCAGUUCCAGGUUUCCAAAUUUAUGGAGGACUUUGAUGAUGAUUUCGGGGAUUUAUAUGCCGGCGUCGAAGCACAGGCCAAUUCGGCCAUCAAUGGCGCACCGGACUUCGCUCACUUUUACACAGAACCAGAAGAAGAUGUCAUUGAGGAUAAUGGAAAGGCGAAAACCACUAGUCCUGGAACCGAUUCGAAGAAAUCCGAUUCUGACUGCGAGGAGUUGGGCGAGAAAGUUUCUGCUUUGGAUGAGAAUGAGGAUGACAGUGGAAGUGAUAGCGAGGAUGACCUGAAAAUAGUGCUGAAUGAUGAGGACUACGAGGGCAAAGUGUUUCCAAAUGGCGGCCGAGGGCGCGUGAAGAAUGAUGAGCAUGAGGAUGAGCAUGGUGAUGGGUUUCCGGCUACGAAAGAGUAUAAGUACAUAAGGACUCAAGGACCAACUUCUCUAAGCAAUGGAAAAGGCAGUGAGGCUGUGGGUUCAGCGUCUUCCAUGUCGGUUAGAGGAGACCAUGAAAAUAGUUUGUGCUAUCAACGCAAGGGUUUGAGCUCUCAGAUUAGUUGUAUUGGUGAUACACCUAAUCAAAUGGUGCCUCAAAAUAGAUUUGGUUUCAGACUUCCUUGGUACCGGACCAUACUUGACGUCAACAUUGAAUCGUUUGAGGAGAAGCCAUGGAGGUAUCCUGAGGUUGAUGUAACAGACUAUUUCAAUUUCGGUUUGAAAGAGGACAGUUGGAAACAGUACUGUAUCUCCCUGGAACAACUACGGCUAACAUCUAUGCAGUUUAGGAUCCCUGUCUCAAGAGCUUCAAAACUUUAUCAGGCUAAAGAAGCUGGAUCUGAGUAUGAUACAUUCGCCCAGGAAACUAUUUAUAAAGAAACGAACAAUGCUGGACCAAGAAAGUUUGCUCCUCCAUCUAGAGAUUCUGAUUCCAGUUUCAGAGAGUUGGAACUACCAAAGGGAAGAGCAAUUCAGAUUGAAGAUAGUAUGGUUGAACGCCAACCAUCUUUUGAUGGUAGGCAUCCACGUAGUUUGGAUGCUGAUGUUGUGAUACAGAUUGCGGUGCAGGACGGCACUGAGGAAACUACGAACUAUGGUGAGGAACAGGGCCAUACAAAUUGUACGGCACGUGAGGCAUCUGAAAAUGGGGAAUGUAAUGCUAAUGGUAACCGAACUAUUCCUGCCAAAGAAGAUGAUUUAUUGGUUGGAACUCCAGAAGGAAACACAAGGAUAGCAGACAGUUGUUCCCGGAGGAUCAGUGCCACUCAUCCAAUGACAAUAGAUUCUGAUCAAAGAAACGACCAGUUUGUUGAUCUGGAUGGGUAUGACUAUAAGCAGGGGAAUGCUGUCUCAUUGGAGACUACAGAAAUUACAAAUAAAACAAAUGACAGUGUUGGUGGGGAUACUUUAUAUGUUGAUCAAUGCAUGAUGGAAGCACAAUUAUCACUUGGUGAUGACAAUCAACUUAGCCCCACUUCCUUUGCAAGUGAUUCUGAGGCAUCCAAGAAUAGUGUUCAUUUUGAUCCAGAAGAUAUUAAUACUCCUGCCACAUCAUCUUUUAAGAACCCAAAAGGCAAUGGCAUCAAGAGAAAAAUAGUUGAUAUCAAAGAUUACUCCAUGCAUAAAAGUCCUGCUCGAAAGGAGCAUAAACAUCAGCAAAGGAGGCUUGACAGUGUUGUUGAACCAAAGAUUCAUAUUAUAGAUGAUGAUGCGUCCCCCACCUCAGAAAUGGACGACCUUUAUGACAGGAAUAACUUAUUGGAUUCUAGCAGACGGAAGAAAAUUCUGCCAGACUUUGGCUGUAGUGAUGGAGAAGAUAUUUCAUAUUAUAAGGAAUCAAGGCAUUAUGGUAGGAGACAUGCUGACAAUCAUGUUCAUACCGCUAAAACAAACUAUUUGGACAGAAAAGGUAGUCACAAUAUCCAGGACAAGGUAAGUCCAUAUUUCAGAAAAAACUGGAAUGAAAGGGAGUAUUUUUGUGAAGAUAGGGAUACAGAUUGGCAUCGUUUUGGAAGAACACAAUUCACUAACGAGAGGAGUCUUCUCCCGAACAGGGAGUCCAGGGGCUGGCACUCCAAGUAUUCCCCACCCACUGUUAAAGAAAGGGAUGCACAAUUUAAAAGGAAUGCCAACAAACUGCAGUUUAAGAAAAUACCCAACCAUGGUGGUGGCUGUUUCGGUUAUAAACGUGAAGAUGAUGACUUUGUGGGAGAAAAAUUUGGGAGAUGUGCUUCAUUUACUGGCCGAAAGAGGAAUACUUUGGAUGAAUUUAAUGAAAGGCAGUUUCCUCGGCUCAGGAGAGAUUUAGGGGGAAGGGAUGGAUAUGUUAACAAACCCGUUUUUGAUUGGGAUGAUUCAUGGUCUGGGAAAAUUGAAGAUGAAUAUUGCAGAAAUGGAGAAAAUCAAUACUUGUCCGAUCAGUUGUACAGAGAUUUACACGCAGGUGAAGGAAGAUGGAAUGACUCUCCAUCACCAAGAAAUGAUGUUUCUUACUCAAUAACUGAUGAAAGAUAUGGGAGACGUGAACGAGAAAUAUACUCUGCUGAAUCCAAAGAGAGUAACUGGUUUGAUCAUCGUUAUGAUGCUGAUGAAAUUGAUGAUAUCGUUUAUCCAAGUGAUCAGUUUAAGUGGAGAAGAUCUAACUGGCGAUCCUCGGUCCUACACUGGACUGAGGAUCAGUUAACUGUCAGGCACCAUGAUGACAAAUUGUAUUCUGAGAGGUCAUCCCGUUCAUAUCAGAAAUAUGUAAGACAUGAAAAAUUUCAUGCUAAAUAUGGUUCCUACAAUGAUGCAAUGCAUGUUGAUAUGCUAUCAGAGCACGAUAGAUUAGAAUUGAAGAGAAAAGGAAGUAGUACUCUCUGUAUUAAUAGUAGUUCUAAGAUGUAUAUCGGUAAGCAUGAGCGGACAGCACUGAGGUGCAGAGGUUCGAAUGACUUGGUUGUUGGAGAAGGAAAGGUACAGUUGGGGGAACCCAAGGUGAAACCUUGUAUCAUUGUACUUGUAUAUAUGAGUGCUCAACAAGAGUUGAGGAAGCCUUUCUUAUUCUUUUUAAUGCUAUCUCAUUGCAUUUUUUUGCUCCUUUUCUCUAUUUUUUUUUCCUUUUCUCUUGUAUCGUAUUUUCACUUUCCUCUCUCUCAAGUAAUGUGUUGCCUGUAUGUUCUUGAGUGUUGGUUCCCGUUCAGGUAGGCCUUGUAGUCCAGUGUGUCAAGCAUGUAAUGUGGGGGAAUAAGGUUUCCCGUCAAUCAUCAAGGCAUUAUUGUAUAAUCUUCUUUAUGUUUCCUAUUCCUCGUUAUCUGUCAGGAAUUCAGGGUAAAGUUGUCUUGUCAUGCUUGUUGAUUUCAUGGAGGUUGACAAGUGAGACUGCUUUACACCUUACAAAUCAAAAGAUAAUGCUAAAUAUUUGAGUAAAAUAGUGUUUUAAAUUGGAUGGUGGACAAUAACAAUAGGUGUUUCUCGAGAUAUCUUUCGAGUUAGCAGAAUCUAUAGUAUAUAAGGUUGCAAACUUGCAUGAAUCCAACAUACAUUUUUAUUUAAUUCUCUUGUUUGUUUUCAAAUUUGCUCUGUUUGUUUAUACUUCAUACUCUGGCCAUCUUCCAAGGACAUGCCAGUCAGCCAUGUACAAUGUCCUACUGGCAGUCUGCUCUUUCUUUUCUAUUGUGAGUAUCCCCACAAUGUACAGACAAUUUAGAACUCUUAAGCUUUGUUAGGCAGUUUAACAACUGAAUAUUCAACGUGAAAAUCAAAUAUUCGUGUUUCUUAGAUCAAAUCUCAGUAUCAAAGGGAAAAAAGAAAGUUCCCGUCUCCUGGAUUUGAUAGAUUAGAUAUCCUUUGAACACAAGUGAUACUUAUUGAAUGGUCACUUUAAUUACCUUAGUUUGAACUCUUUUACAUCUGUCACCUAUUUGAAGACACUUUAACGGAUGUUGCAAGGUCUGUUUUAUAUGCAGACGAUGUACUCUAUUUUAAUUAUUGUAAUAAUAUACAUGUCCUAGUUUUGUGAUUUUGCAGUCUAGACAUAAGGGCAAUUUGAUAUGGAUGUCCUCUGGAUUAUUAUGGUCCUAUUCAUCUUGAAAUUACUACGACCGUUACAUUUUGGACAGCUUUUGUGGUCUUCGGGCUUAGGGUGGUUUUACUUCCAUCAAUGCAAUAGGUGGGAGAUGUUACUUGCUUAUUGUUGAUGAAGCUGUUGGUAUGCGGUAAUGUAUGGCAUUCAUAAGGAAGGCUAGAAUUGAAGUCCUCUGUAAGAAGCUACAAACGUGGAACUUUGAUUCACAAUGGUAGGCUGGAAAAUAUGGAUCCAGAGAUUGGUGGCGAGCAGACAACUUUAGCGGAUUCUAGUGAAUCAAGGACAGUCCAAU